AAGAGGAAUUUGUCCCCAAAGAGGAAAUAUUUCCAGAAUACCCUUAUGAACUGUAAAUUCAGGGCCCAAGUCUGCUUGAGUUCCUCAGUUGGAGUAAUUUAGUAAGUGUAAAUAGUCUCACUGGUUGGUACACGGCAGCAGGGUCAUGCAGGGUGCCUGUCUUAAUAAUCUUGUUUUGCUGCAGUUGUAAUAUGUUGAAUU
This is a long non-coding RNA of Strigops habroptila (Kakapo), 201 nucleotides long. RefSeq lists it as uncharacterized. The transcript is spliced from 3 exons. The record is from RefSeq and is a predicted model, not a curated record. NCBI's taxonomy places the organism in Eukaryota, Metazoa, Chordata, Aves, Psittaciformes, Psittacidae.